ACAUUUUCCUGCCUUUCCUCUUUUUCCUUUUAUUCAUGUGUUUGUAAUUAUCCUCUCGUCCUUUUCCCGUUAAUUAAUUGUCAUGUGUAAUUAUAACAUUCACGCGUCACAUGUCUUCAUCACGUAUCGCUCCUGAGAACGCAUAAAUAGUCUUGUUUACAGCCACAUUUUCCUGCCUUUCCUCUUUUUCCUUUUAUUCAUGUGUUUGUAAUUAUCCUCUCGUCCUUUUCCCGUUAAUCAAUUCAGUCACGUAUCGCUCCUGAGAACGCAUAGAUAGUCUUGUUCACAGCCUCAUUUUCCUGCCUUUCCUCUUUUUCCUUUUAUUCAUGUGUUUAUUAGUGUUACGCCUCCGUGGUGCAGUGGUUAGCGUGCCUGCCUGCGAAUCUACGGGGCUGAGUUCAAGUCCCGCCCUGGAUAGUCGGUGUACGUGAGCCCACCCAGCUUUUGUAUUCUUUUCCUUCCUCUCGUCCUAAAUUUCCCCUUAGUUCAGUCAUGUGUAAUUAUAACCUUCACGCGUCACAUGUCUUCAUCGUGUAUCGCUCCUGAGAACGCAGAGGUAGUCUUGUUCACAGCCUCAUUUUCCUGCCUUUCCUCUUUUUCCUUUUAUUCAUGUGUUUAUUAGUGUUACGCCUCCGCGGUGCAGUGGUUAACAUGCCUGCCUGCAAAUCUACGGGCCUGAGUUCAAAUCCCGCCCUGGGUAGUCGGUGUAGAGCCUACCCAGCUUUACCUUACCUUACCUUACCUCACGUUCCUCUGCCGGCUCCAACACUAUUAAUAUGCCAGACCUUAUUUACUAAUAUUACAAGCUUUACCUUAUAUACCUUACCUUUCCUUACCUCACCUUACCUUACGUUCCUCGGCCAUUCCCCUCAGAUCGGCUCCUACACUAUCAGUAUGCCGGACCUUGUUUACCAAGACUUUCUAUCGGCCGUAUGACAAGCUCUCCCUUCCCAGGCCUCCGCGGUGCAGUGGUAGCGCGCCCUGCCCUGGGAGGCGUUAUAGCUAAAGGAAGGGAAAAAGAUUAGCAAGGGAGCUUUCUCGGGACUAAAGAAAUGACUGUAAGCAAGAAAAGCUGUUCAUUGCGUUCUGUUCUUCCUUCGCUGACCUCCACAACGAACAUUUUCUGCCCUGGGAGGCGUUAUAGCUUAAGGAAGGGAAAAAGAUUAGCAAGGGAGCUUUCUCGGGACUAAAGAAAUGACUGUAAGCAAGAAAAGCUGUUCAUUGCGUUCUGUUCUUCCUUCGCUGACCUCCACAACGAACAUUUUCUGCCCUGGGAGGCGUUAUAGCUAAAGGAAGGGAAAAGAUUAGCAAGGGAGUUUUCUCGGGACUAAGGAAGCGGCGGUGAGCUUGCAGGGUAGUUCAUCGCGUUGUGUUCUUCCUUCGCUGACCCUGCGGCGAGCAUUUCCUGCCCUGGGAGGCGGUACAGCGAAGGGAGGUGAGUCAGGUUCACACGAGGUUGAAAAUAAGAAACAAAGAAUACCACGGGCGCUUUUUAAAGGGACAGAGCAAGCGGAGGCAAGAUGGGCGAUGAGUCAGAUGUAAGGAGUCAGGUGUAAGGUGUAAGGAGAUGAGUAAGGUGUCAGCUGUAAGGAGUAACGAGGAUGAGGUGAGCUGUUAUGAGUCACGUGUAAUGAGUAAGUAGAUGAGUCAGUUGUAAGAAGUAUAAGAGAUAAGAUAUUAGGAGUAAGGAAUCAAGAGUCAGAUAUAAGGGGUCAGGUAUAAGAAGUCAGGUAUUAGAAGAUGAGUCAUAUAAGGUGAUGAGUAACGCGUAUUAGUCAGGUAUAAGGCGGUGAGUCAAGUAUAAGGUGAUGAGUAAAGCGUCAAAAAUCAGAUAUAAGAACAUGAGUAAAGCGUCAGAAGUCAGGUAUGAGAAGAUGAGUCAGGUAUAAGGUGAUGAGUAACGCGUCAGAAGUCAGGUAUGAGAAGAUGAGUCAGGUAUAAGAUGAUGAGUAACGCGUCAAAAGUCAGAUAUAAGAACAUGAGUAAGGCGUCAGAAGUCUGGUAUGAGAAGAUGAGUCAGGUAUAAGGUGAUGAGUAACGCGUCAGAAGUCAGGUAUGAGAAGAUGAGUCAGGUAUAAGAUGAUGAGUAACGCGUCAAAAGUCAGAUAUAAGAACAUGAGUAAAGCGUCAGAAGUCAGGUAUGAGAAGAUGAGUCAGGUAUAAGGUGAUGAGUAAAGCGUAUUAGUCAGGUAUAAGGCGGUGAGUCAGGUAUAAAGAGAUGAGUAAAGCGUAUAAGAAGAUGAGUAACGCGUCACAAGUCAGGUAUAAGGUGAUGAGUAAAGCGUAUUAGUCUGGUGUAAGAAGAUGAAUCAGGUAUAAGAUGAUGAGUAAAGCGUAUUAAUCUGGUAUAAGGAUAUGAGUCAGGUAUAAGGAGAUGAGUCAGGUAUAAGGAGGUGAGUAAAGCGUAUUAGUCUGGUAUAAGGAGAUGAGUCAGGUAUAAGGAGAUGAGUCAGGUAUAAGGAGGUGAGUAAAGCGUAUUAGUCUGGUAUAAGGAGAUGAGUUAGGUAUAAGGAGAUGAGUCAGGUAUAAGGAGGUGAGUAAAGCGUAUUAGUCAGGUAUAAGGCGGUGAGUCAGGUAUAAGGUGAUGAGUAAAGCGUAAUCGUCAUGUAUAAGGCGGCGGUGAGUCAGGUGAGUGUUGAGGUCGAUGCGGGAUGCUGCUGGGAACGGAAGUGACGUCAUCAACAUUACUUACAAUAGGCGGAUGCUGAGGCGUCCAGACCACUUACUUAGAAGAGAAGAAAGUUAUGGUCCCCCCCCCCCCUCUCUCUCUCUCUCUCUCUCUCUCUGGUUGACUGUCUUUCUUUUUCUUUUCUUUCUUUAUUUCGUUUUCGCUAUCUCCUUUCUCUCUCUCU
Molecule: long non-coding RNA, 2852 nt
Organism: Eriocheir sinensis (Chinese mitten crab)
Lineage: Eukaryota; Metazoa; Arthropoda; Malacostraca; Decapoda; Varunidae
Exons: 3
Source: RefSeq, a predicted model, not a curated record